UGGGGGAAUAUGNNCAAUCCGUGCGAANGNAGACACAGNCGUAACUAUGNGAAUGAGGNAGACCCUAGGGGCAGCAAAGCUCUUUANGUAGUNACGNUGGUUUUUUAGUUUUUAGCGCAUCAAAUUGGCUUUAAAUUCAGAAGAAGCCAAGGCUAAUUACGUGCCAGCAGCCCCCGGUAAUCCGGAGGGUGCGAGCGUUAAUCGGAAUAGCUCGGCGUAAAGGGCACGCAGGCGGUUAUUUAAGUGAGGUGUGAAAGCCCCGGGCUUAACCUGGGAAUUGCAUUUCAGACUGGGUAACUAGAGUACUUUAGGGAGGGGUAGAAUUCCACGUGUAGCGGUGAAAUGCGUAGAGAUGUGGAGGAAUACCGAAGGCGAAGGCAGCCCCCCGGGAAUGUGAAUGUACUGACGCUCAUGUGCGAAAGCGUGGGGAGCAAACAGGAUUAGAUACCCUGGUAGUCCACGCUGUAAACGCUGUCGAUUUGGGGGUUGGGGUUUAACUCUGGCGCCCGUAGCUAACGUGAUAAAUCGACCGCCUGGGGAGUACGGCCGCAAGGUUA
RNAcentral lists this ribosomal RNA (557 nucleotides) under uncultured bacterium. Its description in RNAcentral is "bacterial SSU rRNA". It matches the Rfam family "Bacterial small subunit ribosomal RNA", at positions 354 to 896 of the family's 1533-position model. The record is from RNAcentral.